CAAUUGGCUUCUAAUUAGAGUCUGGAAUGAAAGGAAGCAUGAAAUAAUUCUGUCUUAAAAGAAAUUUUUUGAAUUUAUUUAAAUGAUGAAAAUAUCAUUUUUUAGAAAAAAGACGAGAAGACCCUUAGAGUUUUAACUAAUUUUAGUUUUUGUUGGGGCGACAAGUAAACAAUUAAACUUUAGUAAUUAAUUUGAAUAUAUCGAUUUUUUUUAAAAAUAAUUAAACUACCUUAGGGAUAACAGCAUUAUUUUUUAAAAUGAUUG
Molecule: ribosomal RNA, 264 nt
Filed under: Biomphalaria peregrina
Lineage: Eukaryota; Metazoa; Mollusca; Gastropoda; Planorbidae
Description: partial large subunit ribosomal RNA
Source: RNAcentral